Molecule: long non-coding RNA, 590 nt
Organism: Mauremys reevesii (Reeves's turtle)
Lineage: Eukaryota; Metazoa; Chordata; Testudines; Geoemydidae
Exons: 3
Source: RefSeq, a predicted model, not a curated record
ACAGAGGUGGUGCUCCUCCUUUUACCAACCCUAAAUAGGCAGGCUUCCUUUUCCUGUUAAGAAAGUCAAUGUCUUUAGGUGUUGGUGUGGAAAUUGCAGAGUCAAGUUCUUCCUCUAGUGGAAACUGUCCUACAAAAUGUGCCAAGAAUAUGCUGUGCUACCAAGCAGAGCUCUUUGGACAUCCAGUGUGAACAAUAUCAGGACCACUUACGAGAUCUGACAAAGUGGAGGUAGUUCUUUGACAUGAUAAAAUCAAGUCAAGCUUUCUGCUGACUCUUGAUGUACCAGUGAAACUUCUUCCCAUGUUGCUGCUGAAGAUCAGGUGAGACAAGGAAGAGGACCCAGUAUCAUGUGAUCAUCCAGCUCUCUGCAGACCACUAGGAAAUGUUCUUUAUAGCUCUAAGAAGAAAAGUUACUGUUUCUGGCAAAGAAUAUAGUACAAAUUUUAUAGCACAAAUCACAGAAUUCCAAGUCUUCUGGGGCAAACUGUGAAACUCUGUGAAUUUUCUCCAGGGAACUAUUGCCAUGUUUACCAAGCAAUGUCACCCUUAUUCCAGUAAAAUGACUUUUUUUCUGCCUGCAAAAAGAAA